AACGAACGCUGGCGGCAUGCCUAACACAUGCAAGUCGAACGAGACCUUCGGGUCUAGUGGCGCACGGGUGCGUAACGCGUGGGAACCUGCCUUUAGGUUCGGAAUAACUCAGAGAAAUUUGAGCUAAUACCGGAUGAUGUCUUCGGACCAAAGAUUUAUCGCCUUUAGAUGGGCCCGCGUUGGAUUAGCUAGUUGGUGGGGUAAAGGCCUACCAAGGCGACGAUCCAUAGCUGGUCUGAGAGGAUGAUCAGCCACACUGGGACUGAGACACGGCCCAGAACCCUACGGGAGGGAGCAGUGGGGAAAAUUGGAAAAUGGGGGAAAGGCUGAACCACCAAUGCCGGGUGAGUUAUGAAGGCCUUAGGGUUGUAAAGCUUUUUUACCCGAGAUGAUAAUGACAGUAGCGGGAGAAUAAGCUCCGGCUAACUCCGUG
RNAcentral lists this ribosomal RNA (433 nucleotides) under uncultured bacterium. RNAcentral describes it as "partial 16S ribosomal RNA". It matches the Rfam family "Bacterial small subunit ribosomal RNA", at positions 29 to 507 of the family's 1533-position model. The record is from RNAcentral.